Molecule: long non-coding RNA, 1711 nt
Filed under: Drosophila guanche
Lineage: Eukaryota; Metazoa; Arthropoda; Insecta; Diptera; Drosophilidae
Source: RNAcentral
GCUCAACACUGAAUAUCAAUAGCACACAAUGCGUGUAUCGAUGUGCUUACUUUUUUAUCAGCCAUCCCUAACACUUUUCAGAUGCUUGUCAAAAAAAAAGCAUCUGAAUAAAAGGUUUAAUUAAACCACCAGCGAGAAGAAAAGGAAUGUAAGUACGCUCUACAAUAAAGUUUUUCGGUUAAUAGAAUGUGUCAAUUCGAACAGUCUACGAUAAGUCUACCUGUGGCACUUGCCACAGCCAUUUGGCCGGUCCAAAAUCUAAUUGAAAUCUCUAUUCUCAGACAAUGGAUGAUAGGCGUCGUGAGGACUUUGAGAAAGCUUUAAGCGUGCUCGAAAACCGGCACCCAGGGGAGCAGCGGCCGCCACGGUGCGAGCCCAGAGUGCAGCCGGUAAAUGGAAUUGUGCAGCCCCCGGUGAUGCCGCCACCCAAUCGUAAGGGAAGGGUAACCAAUUUCUUGUUAAAACUGAGAACCGCUGUGAAUGCGUUGUCGCGCAACCCUUCCUCGCUGCACUUUCGCCAACCUGUCGAUGCUGUGAAGCUGAAGAUCAGGGACUACCACGAAAAAAUCGCAAACCCCAUGGACUUGAACACAAUCAAGAAAAGAUUUGAGUACACAUACUACUGGGGCGGUGCAGACGUCCUGGAAGACAUUCUAUUGAUUUUCGAAAACUGCAGAGUCUACAACAGUCCGGACUCGCCCGUGUUUAAAGCUGCUGUCAACCUGUGCGAGUGCUUUUGGCUGCGCAUGGCGAAAAUGCAGCAGGAAUUGCACAAUGAGUGUAGGGCUGAGGCCAAGACCAGGCGUCCGCGGAAGGCAGCCAUUUCAAAAACUUCUCCAUUGCCGAAGACCCCGCGCCAGGAAAAGGCUGUCAUUCCAAUGAAUACCAAGGUGGAAAUCAAGAAUGGAAAUCAGCCAAAGGCAGACGAUCCACUGCCUUCAUUUGAGGCCGUUCCCAAUCUACAUCCGAAUCGGCACCAUGGCAAACAGUUCACGCCCGUGACACCGGCCCGUCGUGGUCGUGGCCGACCUCCAGGGUCGCGAAGUCUGACCCGAGCUGACGCCGAUAAAAAUGCUGUUAUCUCGCACGAAUUUCCAGAGCUUCAGCGACCCCCAAACCUUCUUAACAACUACGGAACUCAAGUGAAAAUCGACCCACUCCCAGUCGAACCAGUCCUUGAUCGACUCAGCAUAACGGCUAUCCUGAUGCCUUUAAAUCUGAAGAUCGAGCGCACAUACAGCCAGACCCUGAUCAAGGCUCUACGUUGUUGUGCGGACUCUUGGCCAUUCAACAUCUCGUCGAUCUGGAUGCAUUAUGGAGAAAAUCUAGAUAAUGACUUCCAUGAUGAGCCUCUGGAUUGGGACAUACUGGAGAAGAUGCUGGCGGGCGAGCAGUUUAAGGGCUGGGACUGGUUUCUGACUAAGUUACACCGAAUGCUGCAGAACGCAAUGUCCUGCUUCACCGAAUGCCCAUCGAUCCGCAGAGCGACACAGAGGACCUUCGAAAAGGUCGUGGAAAUGGUACCUGAUUAUGAAGAACGCAUGGCUCACGUAAAAGCGACGGCUCACGAAGCGGUUCGUUUGAAAUUGGACGCCAUGACACCAUCUCAAAAAGAGGAACUCCUUAAAUAACUUGAAUUAUCCAAGAAAGCAAACAGAAAUCAUUCCUAUUGGUUUGUAACAGAAAUUUGAAUAAAUAACACAAGGCGAGA